UACGGAGGGUGCAAGCGUUAAUCGGAAUUACUGGGCGUAAAGCGCACGCAGGCGGUUUGUUAAGUCAGGUGUGAAAUCCCCAGGCUCAACCUUGGAACUGCCUUUGAUACUGGCAAGCUUGAGUCCGGUAGAGGGGGGUGGAAUUCCAGGUGUAGCGGUGAAAUGCGUAGAGAUCAGGAGGAAUACCAGUGGCGAAGGCGGCCCCCUGGACGAAGACUGACGCUGAGGUGCGAAAGCGCGGGGAGCAAACAGG
This 253-nucleotide ribosomal RNA is filed under the name uncultured bacterium. RNAcentral describes it as "partial 16S ribosomal RNA". It matches the Rfam family "Bacterial small subunit ribosomal RNA", at positions 524 to 776 of the family's 1533-position model. The record is from RNAcentral.